RNAcentral lists this non-coding RNA (190 nucleotides) under Clostridia bacterium. Its description in RNAcentral is "6S RNA". It matches the Rfam family "6S / SsrS RNA". Rfam says of the family: E. coli 6S RNA was the first non coding RNA to be sequenced, but its function was unknown until recently. It consists of 184 nucleotides that fold into an extended hairpin structure with a large single-stranded internal bulge. The record is from RNAcentral. Lineage: Bacteria; Bacillati; Bacillota; Clostridia.
AACUCCCUGCCUCGUGCGAUAAUCUCGGCUAAUAUUAACCCAACACGUAUUAAAAGGGAACCUAUCUCCGCUGUAUGGGAAAGCAGACCUCCUGCCAUCAGGCAGACGUUGGGAGCUCAAAGUCAGCGGGCGGUGCCCACCUGCAAAAGAGCAGGUUACUAUCAGCCGUUUCCGGCCUGGCGGGGAGACU